RNAcentral lists this long non-coding RNA (1662 nucleotides) under Salvia miltiorrhiza (redroot sage). RNAcentral's name for it is "long non-coding RNA (SMIL_LNC012141)". The record is from RNAcentral. Lineage: Eukaryota; Viridiplantae; Streptophyta; Magnoliopsida; Lamiales; Lamiaceae.
UUACAUUUUAUUUAUUAUUAUUUCCUAAGUGGGCCGAUCAGUAGAGGGCACCAAAUUGGAUUCUAAAUUACAUUGCAUCAAAUGUUUUAAUUCUUAGGGCACAAGUCCCCCCCAAAAAAGGGGAUAGUUAAAUAAGUGUAUUAGAAUUGAGAAAUCUCAUUUUCCCUUGUUCCUGGACUCUUGACUUUUCUCCCAAAAGAAAACAGAACCAUCAUCUUCCUUUUUCAAGUUGAAUUCGUAGAGAAAUCUCAAGCAGAAGCUGCACUACUUUAAAAGAAAAGGUGAAUUUCUUCGAUUCUCUAUUUUCCUACAAGUAUAGCAUGAAGAAAAUUUAUGUUUUAAAAUCUAGGGUUUUCGAAAAAUUUGGGGAUUUAAUGUUAGAGUUGAAGUAUGGUAUAAAUAUUGAGAUAUAUUAUGUUUUUGAUGUUCCUAAGCCGGAUUAUGGUGAUUAAUUGUGUUAAUUGUUACUUAAUUUUGAUUUUACGCAAGUUAGUAUAAAUCCUAGGUUUGAGUUCGAAAAUUUUGAUUAUGUUCUUGAGUAAUUGAGUUCAUAUAUGUGUUCUUGAGCUGGAACUAUGUCAUAUAUGAGUAUAUUAUGAGUUUACACCACAUAGUUUGGGAGAUUGAUUUUGUUAGUUUAGUGAAAAUUAGGGCUUUCAGUUAAGAAGGUUCACAUGCUAUUGUUUGAUGGAGAUAUGUAUAUUAUGAUGUGAUUUUAUUAAUUAUUAAGGUUAGAAUAGCCCUACUACCCAAUUCUUUUGUAAAGUUCUAUUGUAUAAACAGUAGGGAAGUGAUAAAGUUGCUAGUUUUAUGCAUAUAGUUGAGAUUAGUAGCAUUGAUUGAGUUUAAUUUUAGCUCAUUGAGGUUUCUUUUUAAAGAGAUUGAGAUGAUUAAUAAUGUUAGUUUAUUAAACUAUAUAUGCGUAUUUAUUGAGAAUUGAUGAACAUCUCUUAACUCAUUCUUUUAUUUUUCUCAUUGAGUUAAGAGGAGUAAAUGGUGUUAUUGUAUUGAUGAUAUGAUGUGAGGAAAUGUUAGGAUAAUAAGUGAAUAGCAAAUAUGAGUUAUUGUUGUAAUAUUAUAUAUAUAUAUAUAUUUCCUUACUUAUUUUUCUUACAAAAAAAAUCUUUAUCUAUUUAAAGGUUCCGGCUAGGAACGAGCCUGACACUAGAGUACGAAGUAAGAGAAACAUAUCAGGUGGGCUUACUAACUCAAGAAACAAAGAUGCAUACUUUAUUAUAUAAAGUUUAAGUGUAUGCAUUUAUUUUCAAAUUGUUGACUUGCCAAUAUUUUAGAUUUGUAUGAUACCAUCUACAUAGAAGAACGAAUUCGGGUCCUGAGCGAGUCAGGAUUUGUGUACACAGAGUGACGGUUAACCUUGAGUUAACUUGUCGUUACGUUUGGGAAGGAGGCCUACUUCUCAACGUGUUUAUAGAGAUUAGUAGAUAUGGUACAUACUUGUAUGAGAACUUAGUCUGCGCAGACACUUUCAAUUACUAUGUAAAAACAGUUUAGCAAACACAGGUUGCUUUAGAAAUCACUUGUGUAUUGCUUAAAGUGGCAAGUUCAAUAUAUAGCAUUAUCAUGCAGAGUUUCAAAUGUUUUCGGCACAUGUUCACUGAGUGCUUUUGGUACUCAGCCCUGCAUAUCUUUCUAAAUGUGCAG